RNAcentral lists this transfer RNA (73 nucleotides) under Achromatium sp. WMS3. It matches the Rfam family "tRNA". Rfam says of the family: Transfer RNA (tRNA) molecules are approximately 80 nucleotides in length. The record is from Rfam by way of RNAcentral. Lineage: Bacteria; Pseudomonadati; Pseudomonadota; Gammaproteobacteria; Thiotrichales; Thiotrichaceae.
GGGGUCAUAGCUCAGUUGGGAGAGCACCUGCCUUGCACGCAGGGGGUCGGGAGUUCGAAUCUCCCUGACUCCA